RNAcentral lists this long non-coding RNA (25553 nucleotides) under Solanum tuberosum (potato). RNAcentral's name for it is "long non-coding RNA (STUB_LNC005037)". The record is from RNAcentral. Lineage: Eukaryota; Viridiplantae; Streptophyta; Magnoliopsida; Solanales; Solanaceae.
UUUUUUUUUAAACAUUCAUUUAAUAUGCAAUACCUAAUUACUUGUCCACUUUUGAAUUGACACACCUAUUAAGAAAUUAAUUAUUGACAUAAUGAGUUUAUCAUUUUAUCCCUAUUAAUUAUGAAGUGGAUGGAUUAAAAAUUAGAUUUUUAAGAAAUUGUACAUUUUUCAAAGUAAUUAAUUGAGGGUAUAAUAGGUAAAUUGUUUUUGGCCUUUCUUGAUUUGUCAAAAUGGACAAGUAAUUAGGGACAACUAUAAAAUAAAAAAUAAAUAAAUAAUUAGGGACAAAUGUAAUAUUUUAUUAUAAUUAGAAAUAAUAUAAUUUUAAAAUUAUAAAUGUAAUAAAUUUUCAAUUACACCUCACAAAUUUUAAUAUAUUUUUUCUUAAAUAUCUAUCAAGUCAAAUAAUGUCACAUGAAAUAGCACGGAGGGGUGAUAAACAUUUUCAUUUUGAUUUCCAAGGGUUGAUUAUUUCUAGAAUUUUCUUGGACAGACUUUACUUGUGUGUACAACUUAUGUGAUGACACAUGUUGUUACUUUCCUUCCCCAAUGAAACAAAACUCCCUUUUCCCCUAGAAAUACUGAUCAAUACAUACACUACUAUACAUUCAAGUCUAUCUCUUUUUUUUCCUACUCACCUCUCUGUAUUUUUGUUUGAAACAGCAACAAGAAGAUACCCUUUUUGGGCUUUUCCUUCUUUGUUUUGUGUAUAUAUAGAGGUAGGAGUUUGUGGGGGUGUAAAAAGAUUACAACUUUGAGUAGUGCCAAAUGUUAGGGGUAGAAGAUUUGAGCUUGGACAAGCUGUUUGUGAACAAUAGUAGCAGAGGUGGGGUUUGUAAAAUGGGGGGUGGGGUGAUGAUGAUGGGAGAGUGGAAGGAUAUACCUAUGGAGUUGUUGUUGAGGAUUGCUUCACUUGUGGAUGAUCGGACGGUGAUUGUGGCUUCUGGUGUUUGUAGUGGAUGGAGAGAUGCAAUUUCUUGGGGACUCACUCGUCUUUCCCUUUCUUGGUAUGACUGACUUUUCUUGUUUCUUGAUUUUGAUAAAAUUUUAAGGUUUAUUUUGAUUGUGUGGUUUUGCUUGAUGUGAUUGAUGAAGGGUAGUUCUUGUUCUUCAUUUGUUUGAUUGUAAAUGGUCAGGGGAGUCAAGUCAGCAAAAGACUGAAUUUUUGUGUUCUAGAAUAGUUGAAGGAAAUAGGAAAAAUCUACAAGUUUUUAUGUGUUGGACUAUUUUGGUCCUAUUUACCUUGAUUAAUCUAUUUGAGAUGUCAUGUAUGAUUGAUCAACUGGAGGAACACACAUGAGGUUUUCAUUGUUUACUUUCUUGGAGGAAGGGUUUGUAAAUGUUGUUGAAUAAAGCUUUGAGUUUGGAACUAAGGUUAGAUGUUAAAAGGGGAAUCAUAGUAGCUCAGUGGAUUGACUACCUGAACUUUUUUAUCUCGUUGGUGAGGGUAUGAGUCCCCACCUUGUAACCCCUUCUCCUUUACCCUACCCCGGUUUUGUUCUUUUGGAAAAGGUUAGAUUUUUUAUGUUAAAAGGGGUUGACUGAAGAUUUUUUCCAAUUUGGAUUUGUGAGUGCCAAGACUUGGAUGAGCAAAGCUAAGUUGAAAAGCUUGCCUUGCACUGGCAUCAAGGGAUUUGGGGGAAAUGAGGAGAUUAGAGAGAUUAGGAUAGUGAUUCAACAGCCUUAAUCCCAUAGGUCUUAUCACAUGUGUUUGUAUCUGAGAUGCCCUAAAUAUGAAAUAUGGUCAUAGCAUAAUGGUUAUUGUUCUGCUUUGUGGCUAAAUUUUACCCUUUUUUCUAUGUGCUUCAUCCUGGACAUCUGGAAGUUAAUAUCUAUGUUUUAGUGCUCAGAAGCAUUGGACCUGAGAAGAUAUAACUUGCAUAUGAUUGUGCAUUUGCCUUUAUUUUAUAUUUUUCCUUUACUUUUUGAGGACUUAUUCACAUGUUGGUUCUUGCUUGCAUUUUCUGGAUUUGUAGUGUUGGUUUUUCACCCUCUCCUGCUAUUAGAAUUUGAUUGUAUUUCCCUAUCUUGCUGGUAUUAGUAAUCUGAGAGUUGAUAUUCUAUGGAAUUGAGUACAUAGAUAUUUGUGAGUUAUCUUUCCCUUGUUGAUUUGUGGUGUUAUAUCGGUUUCUAAGCUUUUUUGUCCCCUCAGGUGCAAGAGGAAUAUGAACAAUUUAGUGCUGACACUUGCCCCCAAGUUCACGAAGCUGCAGGUUCUAACUCUUAGACAAGAUUUACCACAACUUGAGGAUGUUGGUGUCGAGACAAUUGCCAAUCACUGUCAUGAAUUGCAAGACCUUGAUCUUAGCAAGAGUUUUAAGCUAACUGAUCGUUCCCUUUAUGCUUUAGCUCACGGCUGUCCAAACCUCACAAAGCUGAAUAUCAGUGGGUGUUCUGCUUUCAGUGAUAGCGCUGUUGCAUACCUAGCUGAGCAUUGCCGAAACCUAAGAGUCUUAAACCUUUGUGGUUGUGUUAAAGCUGCAACUGAUAAGGCAUUGAAGGUAUAUGUCUUGUCCUCUCAAAUGACCUGUAGGAGUACUAAACCGUUGUUUCUUCGAACUUAUAUGACUCAUAUUACUCCUUGCAGGCUAUUGGUUACUACUGUAACCGACUGCAGACUGUAAAUCUUGGUUGGUGUGAUAAAGUUGGUGAUGAAGGUGUAAUGAGUUUGGCUUAUGGGUGUCCUGAUCUCAGAGCCCUCGAUCUGUGUGGCUGUGUCCUUAUAACAGGUAAAACAUGUAUCUGGUUAGGUUUUGUAUUUAAUGUCUUCCCUUAGCAGUGGUAUGUUUACUACCAAAGAGUCUUAAAACUGACUCGGAUUUGCCAUGCUUAUUAGGGCAUAAGUUGUAUUCUAGAAAUUUUAUGCAAAAAAAAUCUUACCAAAGAAGACGAACUUAUUUAUUUCCUAUUAGUAACUAACUAGAAGGAGAUAUUCAUGCAAGAUAUUUUCUUCUAGGAAAUGAAAAGUGGAACAUGAUUUUGAUGUAUACGAGGGAUAUGAAGGACCUUACUUUAGAUUUUAUAUCAAAUAAACUCCUAUGGCUAUUUGUGGUGUCUGAAAUGAAUGAUGAAAUGCAUAUUAGACGGUAGAACUGAGCUUUUUUUCUUUGGGGGAGUGUCCAAAUUUAUGAAGUCUGCCUCAGCCGACUGAUUAUUAGAUGUCUCCUAUAUUUCUCUGUGUGGAUGCUUUUGUUAUGAAAUUUUAUGAUCAUUGCUCUCGACCUGUUAGAGCAAUGGCUACAAGAUAGCAGUGUUCUAAGUAGUUUAGAGGUCUGUGUUUCCUCUCGUUGGCUUGUCGAGUGUACUCACACCUAUGUUCUACUGCCUACUUCUUGAUGGGCUAUUAGUGUUUCCUUUUUCUACUGAAGUUUGAGAUAAAGUUGCUGAUGUCUCCAACUGGAUUCAUUUUUCUUGGUUUAGUCAUCCAUUUAACAUAGCUAUUAUCUAAUGCCUGCAGAUGAGACUGUGAUUGCUUUGGCAAACAAUUGCACUCACUUGAGAUCCCUCGGCCUAUACUUCUGUCAGUACAUCACAGAUAGGGCAAUGUACUCUCUAGCUCAGAGUCGGGUCAAGAACAAGCACGAGAUGUGGGCAUCUAUGAAGAAGCACAGGUACGAGGACGAAGGGCUUAUGAAUCUAAACAUCAGCCAAUGCACUGCUCUCACACCUCCCGCCGUUCAAGCAGUAUGCGAAGCAUUUCCUGCUCUGCACACAUGCCCUGAGCGACAUUCCCUCAUCAUUAGCGGAUGCCUGAACUUAACAUCAGUGCACUGCGCCUGCUCUGUCCAAGCUCACCGUGCGCGUGUUCUCCAUCCAGCUCACUGAGUGUUCUAUGGAGGAGAAGUUGCCAAGUUUUUUUUUUUUGAGAAUGGUAAAGAGAAAAGUUGCCAAGUUUCGAAGCCGUCAUAGAGGGAGAGAAGAAAAAUAGGGUGAGAAGGUUGAAACGCCCUUGUACAUAUUUGUUUGUGAAAAAACUAUGCUGGACAAUCUAGGCUGUUUAAGCCAAACAGGUUCUGUUUGUUUAAUCUGUUGGACUGAGAACUUGUUGGUUUAUGUCAAAACUCUUAAAGACUCCUUUCAUGUGUUUUGACUAUUUGGUGAAAGACAUUUAAUUUCCUGUUUCAUAUUUCACUCCUAAAAUAUGGAGAAAUAACUUUUUAAGUGGAGAAAUUCUAUAAAAGCUUUUCACUGCUUCUCUAGGUUAAUCUAUAUGUUGGAAAAACUUGUUUGCUUUCUUAAAAAAAUUAAUACAGGGGAUGCAAAAUCAACCUAUAAAAUUAAGUUUGGGUAGGUUAAUUUGUUUAUUUUAUUAAUUUAGUUCAUUUCAGUAUGUUUGAUUUUGUCAGUUUAAAAAUUGAGUUAUUAUGCAUUCCAAAUUAAUUAAAGUGUUUUUUUUAUUAGGUAUUUAAAUAAAUUAUAAGAAAAUAAAUGAAACAAAUUGAAAUUUUAACAAGAACUGAACGAAAAGAAUGAAAAGAAAAAUAUUACCAGCUUCUAGUUUUUUGACAUAAAGGAAAUACCAAGAAUCAACAAAAGGGGUCAAGUUAUUAUGUUAAAGUUUUAUUUCAUUCAAGUUUAAGUAACUUUUUAUUUAUUUAUUUAUUUCUGUCUAUUCUUUGAUCAAUUAAGAUUUAGUUCACUCGGUUCAUUGUAUUAGGUUUCCCGAUUGACGUAAGGUUUUUUUCCAAGCAUUAUUAAUACAGUUGGAGUUUAAGUUGUAUGUACUGAUUGACCUAAGGUUUUUUCCCAACACGUUAUUAAUAUAGUUUAACUUGUGAUUCUACUUCUAUUUUUAUCAGGUUACAAUUAGCUAAUUAGUGAUAUUUGUGUAAAUAUUUUUCGGUAGUGACGUAAGUGGGAAAAAGGAUAUUAUUUGCAGAAAUUACAGUAAUCAGAUAGGUGAUGAAAUAAAAAAGAAAAAAGAAAAAAAAAGAUAGGUGAUGAAAUAGACAUGUGAACAUAAAGUUCUUAAAUUGGUAGUAUUACUUUUUAGCAAAUGAAAGUAAUCUAAAAUUAGUAAAUAAUAGCUAUUGCUUAGUAGAACUUUGUCUCUAAUUUUAGUGACAUUUUCCUUCUUAUGGCAGUUUUACUAAAAUUAUGGAAUUAUUGUUUUUGCGUAAUCUAAUAAACACAAUCAGAAAUAAGAUAAUCCAACAAACUUCUAUAAUUGUAGAAAUAAUGAUAGAUAUGAUCUACUUGACUGAAAAAACAAAGAACCAAAAAAAAAAAAAACUUUUGGAGGGAAUUAAAAAUAUAUUUUUCAUACUUUUUACGUAUUAUUUUAAGAUUUAUUAUGUGUAAAAUAAAGAUUCCUAGUGAAAAGGACAUGAAAUUAAAAAUAAAUUUGUAUAAUCAUUUAAAACAAACAUAGUAUUUCAUUACAUGUUUUUCCAAUUACAAAACAAGCUGCACAAAUAUUAAUUGGCUUACGCCUUUUUGAGUUUUCUUUUCAAUUAUCCGUAUUGCAUAAACAUUCAUAAGUGGGAUUGAUUAAUUCGAAGCUAGCUUACGGAAUCGAAGCGAAGGAAUUAGUUCAUCCAUAUUAUUUGCCUUUGUAUACAAUCUCUUCAUCAUCCACAUCGAAUGCUGGAUUACACAAACAUCUAAAGAGUCUACCAAUUCCCUACAAUAUCACAAACCAAAAAAAUAAUUAGUAUUUAUGUAUUAAAAUCUCAUCGUCAACUUUUAGUGUAGUGUCUGAGAUUUGAAUUUGAAACAUUAAGAUGAAUUUUGAAUUCCCUAGAUUGCUGAGUCAACCUCUAAUCUUGUAUUCAGGGGAAUAAAAACAUUAUCUUAACUUUAUGUCUCGAAAUAUCAUUGGUUUCAAUAGAUAGUAUAUAGUAAGUAAAAGAGUAAAUGGAAGCAAAAAGAGAACCUGUGUGAGUAGAGGAGUUCUAUAAUUUAGUGUUCUUAAUGAGUCUUCAUCAUCAUCACUGCUAUCUGAACUAGAUUCAUCAGCAUUAAUAUCGCCUAUUGUCUUCUUUUUCGACGUUCCAACACACUUCUCCCUCUAUAGAAUAAAAAGGAAAAAAAUGCAAAUGUUACAAUGAAUUAGUAUAGUAGCUCAAUAACCAACAAGACAGACUUGUGUUUAGAAGGGAUAUGAUAAGUACAUAUCACAAGUUAUGCUUAAACCUUACCUCAAAUACUUUUCCCAAAAUCUUUAAAGCCAUCGCACGUUUCUUGAGUUCUUCCUUCUUCACAUUGCCUUCUUGUAGUACCUGAAAGAUUACUCAGAAGUAACUUAAAGGUCUCUUUCAAGAAUAAAGCCCGUUUCAACGUAGCAACAUUUGAUCCAAGGCUUACCAAUUGGCAAACAUGUAAAAGAGUCACUUCAAUGUCUACGACAUUUAGUUUCCACAAUGAAUUCAUUAAUGUUUCUCUGUUUAAUCUUAGAUGUGAUUCAACAUCGUUUUCAGGGCCACUACCAUCCAUUUUAAACUGGCGACGAACAUCUUCUUGAAGUUGUAGCAGUUGAAAAGCACCUAUAAAACAUUAUAGUCCACUGCAUCAAAGAUACAGACAGAUAUAUGACAAGCAGGGGAGUAUUGUAUCUUGAGUGAGAUAAUGUAAGUUUACCUUUUGCUGCUGUUAGCUGUGACUUCCAGAAAUGACCUUUGUUGCGAACCCACUCGGCCAUGAAUGGAACUCCCAAGUAAAUUGCUUUCUUUCCAAGCUCUUGUGCUGCCUGUCUUGUGUAUAUGUAUCCAAUAGUUUGAAGAAUCUCAGCUCCAAAUGCUGUUAACAGAAAUGUCAGGUUCUAAUUAAGAUUUUUUUCUUGAUUUAGCUCUCUUCUAAGGUCACAAUAGAUUUCACUGUGCUUAUUCAAUGCUGUCAUUUUAACACUUGUCAUGGUAAAUUCUGUAAAACUUACAGCAAUCACUAGAUGAAGCACAAGAGUAGUGAGCUGACCUGCUUGUGAAAGAUGUUCUGCUUCAGAUUCUACACGACGUAUAAAUCCCAUUCUGUCACCACGAACGUAUUGUUGAAGAAAAUCUUUGAGUAUUCUAGCAAGCUUUUCUUCCCUUUCCUUUUGGACACCCUUCAUAACAUAGUUCUAUUAUAACAAAGCUAUGUUCUUUUUUCUCUUGUAACAAACAGCCAAAAAAGUGGAGACACAUAUAAUUUGAAUGUUAAUGAACUUCAUGACAUACUUGCCUUGAGUCUAUCAUGGAGCUUUUCAGGGUUGUCGUUUUCGCUAACUAAUUCAGAGGAAGCCAUUGAUGCAACAGAUAGAUGCCCGAUGUAGUCUUCAAAAAGUUCGCUCCCAAAGAGGAGUGCAAACACAGCAGUUGGAUCAAGCAUAGUUUCCCUACAAAGAGAACAUCAAAAUUAGUAUUGAUGGUAAUAGAAAAAACAUCUUUUUACAUAGAAAUUUGUGAAUUAGCAAACUACUUGCAUUUAUCAUCUUAAGGGGUCGUUUGGUUGCUGGCUAGGAAGAGAGUUAUUCAUGUUUUAAAACUAACAAAAUUAAUACCAUGUAUUUGGCACUCUGCACACCAAAUAUGGUGUUUGAUUAUCGUUUUACAAUCCCACAUAAAUAAAGCAUGUAUACAUUUUGAGUCAAUUUAUGUACUAUUAUAUGCAGAGUAGAAGAUGGAAUAACUAAACCUAGCAUAACUAAUCUUUGCAUUAUUAAUACCUGCAUAACUCUAACCAACAACCAAACGACCCCAUAAAAUUCAGAAGAAGCAAUUCUAGAAAGAUUACCUGGAGACACAUGACUUUCCAUUUUGAUCAUAUACAUUUCUCUGUACUGGAUCACUCAAAACCUGAUAUGCCUCUCCUAAUUCCUGUUUUUAACAAUUUAAAAACAUUAAAAAAAAAAACAGAUAAUUUUUUGCCUAAAUUUUACAGAAAAGUGAACAUAAAAUAAGCAACAAGCAAUGUGCUUGCCUGAAAUUUUUGUGCAGCAAGAGGAUCAUCUGGAUUUUUAUCAGGGUGAACUUGCCUGGCCUGCACCACAAGAUGAAAAAACAGAUUUCCAACAUCAUUUAACAAAUCAGAAAGGAUAAGACAUUUUCCAUUACCAUUUGUACUUCAAAUCAAAAUGAAAGUUGAUGAAACAAAUCUUCAUUUCCAAAACAAACAUCCCAAGAAUCAUACUACUUGGAUCCAUUUAUCAAAUUCUAUAAGUUUAAACAAAUGAAACUUAAACAAUACUACUCUCCCUAUCUUAAUUUAUGUAGUAAAGUUAAAGUUUCGAGAGUCAGCCAAAUUUUCUUUUUGACUAGAAUUUCUUGUUACCUAUCAUGAUUUACCGUGCUUUUUACAGUGUUUUCAAAUAUAUACAUUUUAUAUCAAAAAACAUAAAAUUUUUGUGUCCAGAUUCACACCAUCAAAUUUUAGAAGUUUGAAUCUAGAAAUUCCAACUAAUGCCAGGUAAAUUAGAUCAAUUCCAACACUCUAAAAAACUACACAAAAUUCAAACAUAGAAAGUAAAAAAACAAAACAAAAGAAAGAAAUUCAAAAACCUUGAGAUAAUAGGCCUUGCGAAUUUCCUCUUCAGAUGCUAAAGGACUUAAACCAAGAACAUCAUAAUACUCUGUCUCUUUCACCAUUUUCUUUUCUUUUUCCAAAAUCCCAAUUAACAAAAAAACUACUCUUUUACCUCCUCCAAUACUCUAAUCACCUUUUUUACGCGGUUCUAAAAUUUUGAUGCAAGAGCGGAAAACCACUUGACAGUAAGUAAAGGAAACAAACCAAAUGAAAAAAAAAAAACUCUGAAAAUUGUAUGAUCAAGAAAACUUGCAAGGACAAAGAAGAAAGAGGAGGGGGUGGGUGGGGUGUUUUAGAGGGGGUGUGGGGUAUGAUGAAAAGAAUGUCACAGAAUAAGAGAGUGCCCCCACGAGACAAAGCUGCCUUUCCAGUUCUGAUCAACGAAUUAAUUAAGGCUUUUCGCGGGAGAAAAACACUAUUUUAACUGUCACUUUGUGCCUUUCAUCAUUUUAUCAACUACUCUUUUCAAACUUCUACUUUUUUGCUUCAUGGGCUCUGGGCUUUUUUCUCUUCUUUAAUGGGCUUUAUUUUUUUUCUGGGGGCCCAUUUUCUUGGUGGUGUCUUGGACCUACCUUAUCCAAUUGUGUAGUCACUCACUUGAAACAAUAAUUGUGGACCAAAAUAUAGAUAUAGAUGCAGAGCACUUAAAAUCUGUUGCUUGUCGAUACUCUAAAAAUAGUGUAUUUUUGGAGAAUCUGACAUGAGUGAAUGCACAACUUAGCUUAAAAUGUCUUAGUCCAAAAGGAAUGUCCCUUGAUACCAUAAACAAAAAAUACCAUGUCUGCUUUUUAUUCAAUAAUAAUAAUACAAAGAUGACUGAUCCAAACAAUUUUAAGCUCAAACACAAUGUUAUAAGGUAAGAUAAGAACUAAUGUCACAAUAUUACAGGUAAAUCGUUUUUUUUCUUCCUGUUUUUCAAUUUUUAUCACUAUAAUAUUUUCUAUUCCAAAUCUUUAAGAUCCUCAUCCAUUGGUAUGGUAUAGAAGAAGUGUUCAAUUUGCUCGACUGCAUUAUCCUCGCCCUGUGUCUUGUUUCCUCUCUUUAUUGGAGCUAGGCUCUCCUUGUAAUUGAAAACCCAACAGCCAGCAAUGUUAAGGUCCAGCUGAAAUCCAAGAUCUGUAACUUGUCUUGUUGUAGGGUCAUAUAGCACCAGCUGUGAAGUUUCUGUGAUCUCAAAAACCAUGUUAUCGUUAUCCCAGAUGUUGCGAGGCCAAUGAGCAUCUAUAUGAGGUUGUACAGUUAGAACUUUGGACCAAAUUCCCUCUUGUUCAUACCCACACAUCAUAUAUGGAUGUCAUAGGUUUGCCAGGGUCACCGGUUAAUAAAGCAAGUGAGUUGCCACGCAAUGUAAGCGUCCCCCAAUGUUCACUUGGAAUAUCUGGGACUUGCAUCUCCCUAAACUGUUCGCUGCCCAUGUCAAAAGAGCGAAUCGUGUAGAUCUCAUCAAGGCCCCUAGAAAGCCAAUAAUAAACCCCGUUGAGAUAAGUGGCAUCAAGGGGUGCAGAUAAGGUAGAACUGGAAGGGAAUUCAGGAGUUAGGUGUUUCCAUGAGUUGUUGCAUGAGGAAUAAACACAGGCAUAGACACGAGGACAAACACCUUGUCCCGGUUCAUCCCAGAAUACUCGAAUCCAUACAACCUUAUAAUCUUGAGUCAACAGGUCAAAUCCCAAUCCGAACUGAUGAUCAUGGUCCGAGAAAAAGUACUCAAUCUCAAAAGGCGCAGGCGGCAGAGACCUGAACUCUCUGGUGGCAGGAUUCCACAAACCCAAGCAGACAUUGUCUCCAUAAAACUUCUUCUGCACUAAGAAUAAGCCAUCAACUGGACCAGCAACACACGUGAAAUCAGCGACCCUCGGAAGCUGAAGGAGAGUUUUUUGUUCAGGGGUCACACCUGGAACAAUUUCUUCAGGGAGCAAGGAGAAUACAACAGACCUUACGAUGGCGUCUACUUCACGUGCUACUUUCAAGUUGCAAACAAGGAGACGGGCACGAUUGUUCUUGUGAUGAAAAUGUUUUUCUAUGAAACUCGGACUUUUGAUGAGAGCAUACCAGUGCUUGCACACACAUUUGAAAAGCAAGAGUGAUUCCACUGGCAAUCUCAAUAGAAUAUCAACUACUAGAUCUUCUGGUAAAGGACAGCGACCAUCCAUACUGGUGGAAAUAUAAGUAGAAUGAGGCAACUUACAAACAUAUUGAAAGAGAGCAGAUCUAGAAAACAUGCAUUAAUAGAACACACAGUGCAACAAAAAAGAUCAAGUAGUAGCAUUACCAUGUGAAGCAAAAAAGGGGAAGUUACAAAUUUGACCACUCAGCCACAAAUAUUUACAUCCGCAAGCCAUUACACAUAUAUUAUGGGUAUACAUAUUUUUAAAAAUAUUUUGACAAAUCUUCUUGUAGAUCAAUUUUGGAGAAAAGAUCCAAAAUAGUUCCUUAUGUUUGGCUUCAGACUCAAGGUCAUCCCUUCCCUUUCUUUUAUAUGGUGCACUAAUAGUCCUUUAAGUUUCAAGUAUUAGUGCACUUUUAAUCUCUUCAUUAACAUCCAUUUACUCAUUAACGUUUUGAUCCUUUACACAUCCAUUUAUGGCCUCCGCUGUAUACGUUCUGGUAUAACACAAAUUAAUUCUUAGAUUUAUCUUAGCAGUUGCAGAUGAGUCUUCAUUUGUACUUGUUUUAUUUUUUGGCUCUGCAUCUUUCAUUGUUUGGUGUGCACCAUUCAAGAUUUGCUAAUUCUUUAACUUUCUCCUCUAUUUUCCAUACGCAAUUAAUAAGCUGACUAUAAGUCUUUGGGUUUUCCUGAAUAAAAGCUGACUAUAUAUCUGAAACAUAACCAAAGAAUAAAAUAAAAACAAGAAAAAAGGAAAAAUAUAAUACAUACUUAGUCUUCGUGUAUCAAUAUCUCAAAUUAGCAUCGGAUAAAAGUGCACUAAUACUUAAAACUUUGGAGGACUAUUAGUGCACCAAUUGAUGAUUUCGAAUCUAAAGCCAAAAAUAAAGGACUAUCUUGUAUUUUUUCUUUCGAUUUGGGCUGAUAUGGUUUGGACGGAUCAAUAAUCAGCCAAAUAGAGUCAAUAAGAGGAGACUAGUAAAGAAGUAGUCAUGCGGUUUUCUAGUCUUUUCAUUAACUAGUCAAUAAUUAUUUUUAAAGCUACAUAUCAAGUUAGCAUAUAGAGCAAUUUUGCAGGUAAUUUAAGGAUUAAGGAGCAUGAAACAGUAAUUACCCUUUUCUACUAAUAUCAAUCUACAAAUCCUUGGAAAUGGAACAAUUUUAACUUGCCCAAUAUUGAAAUGUAAAAGAUGGAAAGAAAUAAAAAGAAUUAGCAUAAACAGAAACAAUGACAGCAAAACCCUAUAUCCAUCCCCAAAUAGCACAAAUUCAGAUUCAGAUUCAGAUUCAAAUUCAAAAAAAUAAUCAGAAAUCUAACCUUAUAAGCUGAUGAAGAAGAAGUGCCGCAAUUACGACAAGGUAAAAAUGGAAAAAGAGAUUGGAUUGAUUGAGUGGUGUUGUAGAAAUACCUCCAACAGUUGACUACUUCCUCACUUUCCUACACUUCUUUUGUCAUUUUAGUUUAUAUAACUCCCCUUAAUUCCUUUUAUCCAAGUUUUUAAUACCAAGGGAUAUGAUGGAGUAAUAAGUACUUAUUCAUUGUUAAUUAGAGGUCUUGGAUUUGAAUCUUUUGGCUAUGAAGUCAUCCGUGUUAGGGAGCACUUUACCCAUAAUGUGAGAUUUUUCGACUGGGCUCUAAUAUGGAUACCGAACAUUGAGCGAUUUUUCUUUUUUUACCUUAGUGGUCAUUUGGUAGGUGGAUAAAGCUACAUCUAAUACAUGAAUCACUACAAGAAAAGUGCUGAUUACCUGGGAAUUAUUGUAGAGAAUAUAUGAUAACCCUAAUGGGUGGAGGGAGGACCAAUUUAUAGAGGUUAUGAUUUAAUCUGGUAUAUCCAUCAAGUAACCAAUGUACGGACGAGAUCUAUUCCUUAUUAAAUAUUAUUUAUGGUAUUACUUGCGUUACUAGUAAACUUGAGCCAUAAGUAAGAAAUAAUUAAUAAUAAUUAAUAAUAAUUCUUACACUUCGGGGUGCCUUCGCCAUAGUUCAAGUCUGGAGUCGGCCAUUUCAGUUCUUGAAAGCUUUUAAUCUAGCUAGUGUUAUUCAUAGUACUUCCGUGUACUUAUCGACCUUAUGUGAGUCCAAACUCGUUUGAGUUAUACAUUUACUUUCUAAUUGUGCACGAGUAUACAUACUUUCUAGGCUUAUAGAGGUCCAGUUAGGUUAUAGAUUAUUGCUUUACUUUACUACUUCGUUCUUUUCAGACUCGUGAGCUAUAUAGUUAGACUUUCCGUUAUUGCUUUGUUCAUUUGACCUCUAAUUACUGUUACUUUCAUAUUCUUCAUAUUGUUUUUACUUUCCAAGUUCAGUUGACCUAUGAUGCCUACUGGACACCUGUUGUUCUGAUAUUCAUGCUACACUCCACAUCUGUUUUCUUGAUGUGGAUUUGAGCGCCAGCCGACAACGGUGAUUGGAGCCUAAGUAAUGCGGAGAUCUUCUGAGAUGAAUGGUGAGCUAAUGGCGUCCUAGUUCGACUUAUCUCCAUAUGUAUAUAAUUUUUUACAUGUCUUUUGUAUUCGAGACAAAUUUAUUAAGUUAGUCAAUAGCAUAGGCUCGAAACUAUGACUAGAACAUUGAGUGCAUGACAUGCACAUCUUACUCCUUACUUUCCUUAUUCGUGCCUGUUUUUUUCAUACUUUCUAACUUUCACUAGUACAUUAUCCCUUGUUAAGGAAAAUUAUGUAAACAAAAUAGUAAAUGGCCUGAUCCACUUAAGAGUGAGGGCUAGUUCAUUGAUUGAUACAGCUAAAUCACAUUAAAUAAUAAAUACGGAGGAGGGCCUAAAAUACCCUUCAAGUAUAGGUAAUGGAACAAAAAUACCCUCUUCCACCUUUAGGCUCCAAAAUACCCUUCCAUCCAUCUAUAUGGACCUAUAUUACCCUUUCACUUAACAGAUUCUUUAAGACUAAUAAUUAAUCUUUUCAUUAAUGAUGUGACAGUCUUUAAUUGGUUGAAAUUGGAAUUAACCAAAAUAAGAAUUUCUCUUAAUUAAACCCAGAUCCAACUAAAUUCCACCCGACUCACUUAAAAUUCUAUUGACCCAUAUCUUAAAUAAUCAAACUUCAAUCAACAACUUGCUCCAGUUAUUUUUAAUCCCAGUCAAAAAAGAGGUACAUUAGACCAUAAACAACAUGAAACUUCCGAAAAUUCCCUGGAAACAUUCCAAGAAGGAAGAAGUGAAAUACAAGAUCAAGUGCCACUAUAAUCAUAUACCAAUAUACACCAUAUUUUGAAACACUAUGAAAAGUCCAGCAAAUCUCCAAUCUCUGGGAAACAUAAACUCAAAGCGGUAAAAUUUCUCAAAAUCCGAAACCCUAGAGUUCAAAAAUUAUUUCACUUCUUUCUUUUUUGCGAUUCAUAUAAAGCACCGCACGCAAAAAGCAAAACCAACAUAAUUUUGGGAAAUUCUCAAAGCAGAAUCAUGGAAUAGAAUAUAAAAAAAAAAUAAAAAAUUUAGCCAUAGCAAGAGAUUAUAUACUUGAUGAAGAAAAGCGAUAGAUAUCGCUUUUCUUCAUCUGCAAAUUUUACGAGAAAAUUAUAUGGAGAGAAAUUCAGUGUACAGAGAAAAAAAAGGAAACUCACCGCUACACACUCGAUUCUUCUUGUUUUUUUUUAAAGAUAUGGGUCAGUAAAAUUUUACGUGGGUUGGGUAGAGUUUAGUUGGAUCCGGGUUUGAUUUGGAGAAAUUAUUGUUUUUGCUUAAUCUAAAUUCCAGCCAAUUAAAGAUUGUCACAUCAUUAAUGAAAAGAUUAAUUAUUACUCAUAAAAAAUCUGUUAAGUGAAAGGGUAAUAUAGGUCCAUAUAGAUGGAUGAAAGGGUAUUUUUGAGCCCAAAGGUGGAUGGAGGGUAUUUUUGUUCCAUUCCCUAUACUUGAAGGGUAUGUUAGGCCCUUCUCCGUAAUAUAUAUUACAUUUUUGAACUGUUAAACUAGAAACAAGAUUUAGGAUUUUUCAAGUGGACCAAAAUACAGAUAUUGAUGCCGAGUACUUAAAGUCUGUUGCUUGCCGAUACUCUAAAAGUAGUAGUGUAUUUUUGGAGAAUCUAACAUGAGUGGAGAGUACACGCGCAACUUAGCUUAAAUUGUGUUGGUCCAAAAGGAAUGCCCCUUGAUACCAUAAACAAAAAAUACCAUGUCAGCUUUUUAUUCAAUAAUAGUACAAAGAUGACUGAUCCAAACAAUUUUAAGCUCAAACACAAUGUUAUAAGAAGACAAGAUACGAACUAAUGUCACAAUAUUACAGGUAAAUCGUUUUUUUUUCUUCCUGUUUUUCAAUUAUUAUCAUUAUAGUAUUUUGUAUUCCAAAUCUUAACGAUACUCAUCCAUUGGUAUGGUAUAGAAGAAGUGUUCAAUUUGCUCGACCUCGCCCUGUGUCUCGUUUCCUCUCUUUAUUGGAGCUAGGCUCUCCUUGUAAUUGAAAACCCAACAGCCAGCAAUGUUAAGGUCCAGGUGAAAUCCAAGAUCUGUAACUUGUCUUGUUUUAGGGUCAUAUCGCACCAGCUGUGAAGUUUCUGUGAUCUCGAAAACCAUCUUAUCAUUAUCCAAGAUGUUGCGAGGCCAAUGAGCAUCUAUAUGAGGUUGUACAGUUAGAACUUUGGACCAAUUUCUGUCUUGUUUCAUUACCCACACAUCGUAUAUGGAUGUCAUUGGUUUACCAGGGUCUCCGGUUAACAUAGCAAGUGAGCCGCCAUGCAAUGUAAGUGUCCCCCAAUGUUCACUUGGAAUAUCUGGGACUUGCAUCUCCCCAAACUGUUCGCUGCCCAUGUCAAAAGAGCGAAUCGUGUAGAUCUCAUCAAGGCCCCUACAAAGCCAAUAAUAAACCCCGUUGAGAUAAGUGGCGUCAAGGGGUGCAGAUAAGGUAGAACUGGGAGGGAAUUCAGGAGUAAGGUAUUUCCAUGAAUUGUUGCAUGAGGAAUAGACACAGGCAUAGACACGAUUAUUAGCACCUUGUCCCAGUUCAUCCCAGAACACUCGAAUCCAUACAACCUUAUAAUCUAGAGUCAACAGGUCAAAUCCCAAUCCGAACUGAUGAUCAUGGUCCGAGAAAAAGUACUCAAUCACAAAAGGCGCAGGAGGCAGAGACCUGAACUCUCUGGUGGCAGGAUUCCACAAACCCAAGCAGACAUUGUAUCCAUAAAACUUCUUCUGCACUAAGAAUAAGCCAUUAACUGGACCAGCAACACACGUGAAAUCAGUGAUCCGAAGCUGAAGGAGAGUUUUUUGUUCAGGGGUCACACCUGGAACAAUUUCUUCAGGGAGCAAGGAGAAUACAACAGACCUUACGAUGGGGUGUACACGUGCUACUUUCAAGAUGCAAACAAGGAGGCGGGCACAAUUAUUCUUGUGAUGAAAAUGUUUUUCUAUGAAACUCGGACUUUUGAUGAGAGCAUACCAGUGCUUGCACACACAUUUGAAACGCAAGAGUGAUUCCACUGGCAAUCUCAAUAGAAUAUCAACUACUAGAUCUUCUGGUAAAGGACGGCGACCAUCCAUACUGGUGGAAAUAUAAGUAGAAUGAGGCAACUUACAAACAUAUUGAAAUAGAAUAGAUCUAGAAAACAUGCAUUAAUAGAACACACAGUGCAACGAAGAAGAUCAAGCAGCAGCAUUACCAAUGUGAAGCAAAAAAGGGGAAGUUACACAUUUGACCACUCGGCCACAAAUAUUUAUAUCCGCAAGCCAAUACACAUAUUAUGGGUAAACAUAUUUUUAAAAAUAUUUUGACAAAAUUUCUUGUAGAUCAAUUUGGGAGAAAAGAUCCAAAAUAGUUCUUUAUGUUUGGCUUCAGACUCAAAGUCAUCCCUUCCCUUUCUUUUAUAUGGUGCACUAAUAGUCCUUUAAGUUUCAAGUGUUAGUGCACUUCUAGUCUCUUGAUUAACAUCCAUUUACUCAUUAACGUUUUGAUCCUUUACACAUCCAUUUAUGGCCUCCGCUGUAUACAUUCUGGUACAAAACAAAUUAAUUCUUAGAUUUAUCUUAGCAAUUGCAGAUGAGUCUUCAUUUGUACUUCGUUUUAUAUUUUGGCUCUGCAUCUUUCAUUGUUUGGUGUGCAGUAUUCAAGAUUUGCUAAUUCUUUAACUUUCUCCUUUAUUUUCGAUACACAAUUAAUAAGCUGACUAAGUCUUUGGGUUUUUCCUGAAUAAAAGUUUCUUGCGCUUUGCCUAUAUAUCUGGAGCAUAACCAAAGAAUAAAUAAAAACAAGAAAAAAGGAAAAAUAUAAUACAUACUUAGUCUUCGUGUAUCAAUAUCUCAAAUUAGCAUCGGAUAAAGGGUGUGUUCCGUAGAAAAUAGUUUCUAAUCAAAAUUUUUGGAAAAGAUUUUCUUAGGAAAACAAGUUCCAUACGUGACACUUCAAAAUUCAAAUGAAGAAAAUGACUUUCUAAAGGAAGUAGGGAAAACAAGUUUCAUAUGUGACAUUUCAAUUGAGUAUGUCCUCCCACUCUCUAAGACACCACAUAUUCACCUCACUCCCGUAGCUUCCAUACCCACUACCCUACACAUCUACCCCACCUCCGUCCCUCAUAGUAUUGUCUAGAUAAUACAUAAAUGCUUUUAGAAUAAUAUUAAAUUUUUUUUGCUUAUAUACCAAACACAAAAUAUACAUAAGAAUCUCACUUAUUUUCCUAGAAAAUAUUUUUCAAAAAAUAUUUUCCUUGGUACCGUACACACCCAAAGUUCCAAUGUCCUCGGAUAAUAUCAGCCAAAUAGAGUCAAUAAGAGGAGACUAGUAAAGAAGUAGUCAUGUGGUUUUCUAGUCUUUUCAUUAACUAGUCAAUAAUUAUUUUUGAGCUACAAAUCAAAUUAGCAUAUAGAGCAAUUUUGCAGGUAAUUUAAGGAGCAUGAAACAGUAAAUACCCUUUUCUGCUAAUAUCAAUCUACAAAUCCUUGGAAAUGGAACAAUUUUAACUUACCCAAUAUUGAAAUGUAAAAGAUGGAAAGAAGUAAAAAGAAUUAGCAUAAACAGAAACAAUGGCAGCAAAACCCUAUAUCCAUCCCCAAACAGCACAAAUUCAGAUUCAGAUUCAAAUUCAAAAUAAUAAUCAGAAAUCUAACCUUAUAAGCUGAUGAAGAAGAAGUGGCGGACAAGGAAAAAAUGGAAAAAGAGAUAUCGGAUCGAUUGAUUGGUGUUGUAGAAAUACCUCAACAGUUGACUACUUCCUCACACUUCUUUCGUCAUUUUAUUUUACUACUUCUUGGGAACGCGUUUGUUCCUCUCCUUUUUUUUUCUCGCGUGUGUUCCUUAUUAUUAUUAAAUUUUUAUAUACUAAAAAGUUGAGUUAUAAAAUAGAAAAUGCUGAAAUUAACAAUAGUAGUUUUAUCAUUUAUAUUUUAUUUACUAAAUAAUAAAAAAUAUAUACUGGAGCAUUUUUUGUUAACCUUCAUUUGUUGUUUCUCACUCUCUUUUCUUCUCAUGUUGAAAUUUGAUUGUGCAAUUACCUUCCUAUGAUAACAUCAAUCUUUGUGAAAUUGGUUCUUAAAAAGCAAAUUCAAAUUUUAAUUUUGGAAGUGUUUUUACAUAAUAGUGGAGAAUGAUUCUUCAUAUUCAACUUUUAAUUUUGAAUUGUAAUGAACAAUUACUAUUCAAAUACAAAUCUAGUUUAUUUUUAACCUUACAUUUAUUGAAUCUUUAAUGUGUACGUUAAUGAUAUAUAAUAAUUUAUUAAUUAGGUAUUUGAUUUAGUGUAGGGGCAAAAUGGUAAUUCAACUAUACACUUUCGAGUUUUCACUUUUAAUAAGUAAUUAUAAUAUAUACAAAAGAUUAAACCAUUUGAUAUUAAAAAAAUAUAUGUAUGAGUAAUAAUUAACAUUCAAUGGCAAAAGAAUGUAUCACAUUCUCAUAAACAAUAUCUCUAAGGCAAAAGUAGACAUUCUAAUUUGGACAAUUACUACUUAACUACUUAUGGGUUCAGCCAAUAAUCUGGAGAUAGGAGUUUGACAAUUUUUCAGCCAUAGUUAAAAUUCUACAUCAAUAAUAAAUAGCUUCUUAUCACAGUAAAUAGACAUUUGAAUAAUUAAUAUAAAUUGAGCAACACAAACUUUUCAAAAUGACUUAUUCUAGAUAUAUAAUAGGGAAAAGGGUCAAAAUUACCCCUCAGUUUUGUUUUAUUGGUUAACUUUAUCCUUACCAUUAAAAACAAGUUAUUUUUACCCCUGUCGUCAAUAAACUUAACAAAUAUACCCCUCCUUGAACGGAAACCCCCAAAUCAAUUGAAAUUACCCGAUUUUAAUUGAAAUUAUCCAAUUUCUUUUUUAACCCGAACUAGAACCCAACCCACUAAACUAAACAAAUUAACCCAUUUCCAAUCUUCUUCAUCUCAGUGUUCUUGGCUAAGUACCCUAAGAACACUCACAAUCUUUAUCAUAGCUAACACAUAAAUCCUACAUUGUCUGACAAAAUCAAUUGAAAAGGUUCGUUGGUUGAAUGUAUAACAAGUAAAUUAUUUUUGCUGAACAACAUCCCGCCUCUCUCUGUUGUGGGGUUCAGCGAAGAACAAGCCACAGAGCAAGUAAAUGGAAAAGUUUCAAUUUACACAUCAUCAUUCAAUCCAAUGAAGAAAACCAUUUCUAGGUACCAACCAAAUUACUUUUUGAUUUGUUGUCAGUAGGCUGCCCCUAAAUGUGUACCCAAUAGUACAUCUAAUUCUUCUUUACCUGGCUCGUAAAUCAAUUCAGUGGCCCUCCAUGAUUCUUGUAUGUGCACGUAAAAUUAAGCUACAAUGGAGGGGAGGUUUUUCUUUUCUCUAUCUUUUUAUUUGUUCAAAAUGUUUCCAAUAUAUCAUCAUAUUUGAUGAGUACUGGAUAUUUGAUGAUUACUGAUUUCUUGUAUGUAGCAAAUCAUGUGAUUGAACGACUGCAGUGUUUAGCCUAGGCAACCUUCAACAAACAAUUUGGAGAUAAAUAUCAGGUCUUUUCGAUUGAUUUUGUUAGACAAUGUAGAAUUUGUGUUAGCUAUGAUAAAGAUUGUGAGUGUUCUUAGGGUACUUAGCCAUGAACACUGAGAUGAAGAAGAUUGGAAAUGGGUUUAUUUGUUUAGUUUAGUGGGUUGGGUUCUGGUUCAGGUUAAAAAAGAAAUUGGAUAAUUUCAAUUAAAAUUGAAUAAUUUCAAUUGAUUUGGGGAUUUCCGUCCAAGGAGGGAUAUAUUUGUUAAGUUUAUUGACGGCAGGGGUAAAAAUAACUUGCUUUUAACGGUAAGAGUAAAAUCAACCAAUAAAAUAAAGUUGAUGGGUAAUUUUGACCCUUUUCUCUAUAUAACAUAUAUGGACAAUUUGAGGAAUGAAUGUUUCAACACAUGAAUAAUAGACUAAUAAGGUCAAUAGAUUAUACAUAUAAAUGAAAAGUUAAAUAAAAAUACAGCCUCAAAAUCACAUACUAUGAUCCAUCAUUUAUCUCCAAUUCGGUGGCCCAGUUUAUUUUAGGGUAUGGAUUCUUUUAUUUUUAAAAAAAAAACAUAUUUGAUUUUUCUCAUUUAGUUAUUCCUCUCCCUACUCAUAAAUAAUAAUCUCGAAAAAAUAUUUUUACUAAAGUAGAACACUCUAUCAAGAGCCAAAUAAACAUAUCAAAUUAACUAAUUAAUCUUUCAUCAAUUAUUGAUAGAACAUGAAUUGUAUAUCACUACUUUCUUCAUGUAGGAUACAAGAUAUUUCAAUAGAAAAACAAAAUCAUAAGAAAGCAUAUCAAAAUAUAAAAAAAGGACAUAUAAAAUACUUUGGCUGGACAAGGAGGAGCGGAUAAAAACAAAAGGAAAUUACUGCACAUACAAAAUGAUGAGCAAGAUUAGUUUUUUGCAGGAUAGUCUCUCAUCCUCCUCUUAUCAUUUACAUGAAAACCAUGCUAGGCAUUUUAUAGCAAUAGCUAGGAUGACCUUUGAGUAGAUAAUUAAUUUGCAUUAAUUUAGUUUAAUGAUUUUAGUCCAUAUCAAAUUUAUUUAAUGGAAAACUCUUCAAAUACUCUUGAUUUUACAGAAAAAGAGAAAUUGACUAUUAAUGUGAAUUUGAUUCAUGUACCAAUUUAAAUGAGUUUAAUCUAAGGAAGUGAAAAAAUCAUUAACAUUUUUAUUAAAACGAUACAAUUUAAUAUUUAAAUUAAAUAGUUAAAUAUUUUAUAACAUUUUAAUUUAUAAUAGGGGUAAAACGGUAAUUCAACUUUUAACUUUUUUUAUUCCCGCUUAUAGUAAUAUAUGAUACAACUCCUCUUAAUUCCUUUUAUCUAAGUUUUUAAUUAUGUGGUGGAGUAAUAAGUACUUAUUCAUUCUUAAUUAGAGGUUCCAGUUUGAGUCUUUUUGGCUAUAAAAUCAUCUCUGUUAGAGCGCUUUACCCAUAAUCUAAGAUUUUUCGACACAAAUUCAAAUUUAGUGAGGCUCUAAUAUGGAUAUCGAACACUGAGGGGAAAAUAAAAAUAAAAAUUACCUUAGGGGUUAUUUGGUAGGUGGAUAAAGCUACAUCUAAUACAUGAAUAACAAAGUUAUUUAUGUAUUUAAUUUAUAUAAUGUUUGUAUAAAAGUUAUUCAUAUAUUAACAAAGAUGUUUCUCUCUACGAUAUGUUCCCACAGGAGAAAGAGUUUGUUACUUGAAGAGGGGGGGGGGGGAUGUUGNNNNNNNNNNNNNNNNNNNNNNNNNNNNNNNNNNNNNNNNNNNNNNNNNNNNNNNNNNNNNNNNNNNNNNNNNNNNNNNNNNNNNNNNNNGAAGGGGGGGGGGGGGUAUUUGGAGUCUUUUAGCCACAGUUCGAAGCCCUGACAUAUCGAUCUCUUUUAGCCACGGUUCAAGGUCCCAACGUAUUUUGUUUUGCCACGGUUCAAGGUCCCGACGUAUUUUAUUUUGCCACGGUUCGAGGCCCCAUCAUAUCUCUAUUCGCCUUGGUUCGAAUCCUAACAUGUGGUUCAUUUGGGUUCUUCGGGGUGCCUUCACCAAAGUUCAAGUCUAGAGUCAGCCAUUUUAAGUUCUUGAAAGCUUUUAAUAUAACUAGUGUUAUUCAUAGUACUUCUGUGUACUUAUCAGGCUUAUGUGAGUCCAAACUCGUUUGAGUUAUUUACUUUCCAAUUGCGCACAGGUAUACAUACUUUCUGGGCUUAUAGGGGUCCAGUUAGGUUAUAGAUAAUUGUUUUACUUUACUACUUUGUUCUUUCCAGACUCGUGAGCUAUAUAGUUAGACUUUCCGUUAUUACUUUGUUCAUUUGACCUCUAAUUACCGUUACAUUCAUAUUUUUCAUAUUGUUUUUACUUUCCAUGCCCAGUCGACCUAUGAUGCUACUGGGCACCUGUUGUUUUGAUAUUAUGCUACACUCCACAUCUGUUUUCUUGAUGUAGAUUUGAGCGCCAGCUGAUAAUGGUGAUUCGAGCCUAAGAAAUGCGGAGAUCUUCUGAGAUGAAGGGUGAGCUGAUGGCAUCCUAGUUCGACUUAUCUCCAUAUGUAUAUAGUUUUUUAAUGUCUUUUGUAUUCGAGACAAGUCUAUUAAGUUAGUGAAUAGCAUAGGCUCGAAACUAUGACUAGAACAUUGAGUGCAUGACAUGCACAUCUUACUCCUUAUUUUCCCUAUUCGUACCUGUUUUUUUCAUACUUUCUAACUUCACUGGUACAUUAUUCCUUGUUAAGGAAAAUUAUGUAAACAACUAGUUCUUUGAUUGAUACAACUAAUUCACAUUAAAUAAUAACUAGAAUCUUAUUACAUUUUUGAACUGUUAAACUAGAAACAAGAUUUAGGAUAAGGGAACUAUUUAUUAACUUCACUUCUCCUUAUUAGUGUCAAAAGUUUCUCGUUUAGGAAAUAUGAAGUUUUGAAGGACUAAUAGUAUAUUAUCCUUUUUUAAAAUUGAACUCUAUCCAAUGGUUGAUUCUAUUUAUGAAUCAAUUCCUUAGGUGCAUUAUUUCCAUAGGUUUCAACAUUGGUAACAAAAUCUAGCUUUCUCGCUUAAAUUGACAUAUUUCUAUACUUCCCUCAUCUUAUCUAUCACUGAGGCCGCUCCCAUCUUAUCCCUUAUAUCCUUAUUUAUAAUUUUUAUCGCUCCGAGUAUGAACGUGCAUCCACCUCAAUAUAUAUUCACAUCUCUGCAACAUGCAUCUUCUAGACAUGGGACUUGACUGGCCAACUCUCAUUUCCAUACAACAAUUACAUACACACUCUAUAUAAAUACACACAUACAUAUAUUGAUGGAAAAAUCAUCAACAGAUGAAACUUAAGCAAUACUCCCUCCAUCUCAAUUAAUGUGACAGUCGGAAUUUUGUCUUUUAAAUUGUUAAUUAUUGUGAUUUACCAUUUUUCACAUAAUUUUCAAAUACAUAAAUUUUAUAUCAAAAAAACUUAAAGUUUCUGUAUCCGAAUUUACUAUUAAAUUAUAGAAGUUUGAAUCUCAAAAUUUCAACUAAUGCCACAUAAAUUAAAUCAACUCCAACACUCAGAAAAGCUACAAAAGUUCAAACAUAGAAAGUAAAAAAAAAUUUAAAAAAGAAAUAGAAAAAACCUUGAGAUAAUAUGUCUUGCUAAUUUCCUCUUCAGAUGCUAAUUAAAGGACUUACACCAAGAACAUCAUAAUACUCUGUGUCUUUCACCAUUUUCUUUUCUUUUUCCAAAAUCCCUAUUAACAAAAAAUUUACUCUUUUACCUCCUCCAAUACUCUAAUUACCUUUUUUUUCGCGCUUCUAAAAUCUUAAUACAAGAGCGAAAAACCACUUGAGUGUAAGGAAAGGAAACAAGCCAAACGAAAAAAAAAAAAAAAACUCUCAAAAUUAUAUGAUCAAGAAAACUUGCAAGUACAAAAGGAGAAAGAGGAGGGGGUGGGUGGGGUAUGAUGAAAAGAAUGUCUCAGAAUAAGAGAGUGCCCCAACGAGACAAAGCUGCCUUUCCAGUUCUGAUCAACAAAUUAAUUACGGAAAAUCUGUUGCUUGUCGAUACUCUAAAAGCAGUGUAUUUUUGGAAUUAAGAGGAGUUGUAUAAACUAAAAUGACAAAAGAAGUGUAGGAAAGUGAGGAAGUAGUCAACUGUUGAGGUAUUUCAACAACACCACUCAAUCAAUCCAAUAUCUCUUUUUCCAUUUUUACCUUGUCGUAAUUGCGGCACUUCUUCUUCAUCAGCUUAUAAGGUUAGAUUUCUGAUUAUUUUUUUGAAUCUGAAUCUGAAUCUGAAUUUGUGCUAUUUGGGGAUGGAUAUAGGGUUUUGCUGCCAUUGUUUCUGUUUAUGCUAAUUUUUUUUAUUUCUUUCCAUCUUUUACAUUUCAAUAUUGGGUAAGUUAAAAUUGUUUCUUUUCCAAGGAUUUGUAUAUUGAUAUUAGUAGAAAAGGGUAAUUACUGUUUCAUGCUCCUUAAAUUACCUGCAAAAUUGUUCUAUAUGCUAACUUGAUAUGUAGCUCAAAAAUACCUAUUGACUAGUUAAUGAAAAGUCUAGAAAACCACAUGACUACUUCUUUACUAGUCUCCUCUUAUUGACUCUAUUUGGCUGAUUAUUGAUCCGUCCAACCCAUUUCAACCCAAAUCGAAAGAAAAAAUCCAAGAUAGUCCUUUAUUUUUGGCUUUAGAUUCGAAAUCAUCAAUUGAUGCACUAAUAGUCCUCCAAAGUUUUAAGUAUUAGUGCACUUUUAUCUGAUGCUAAUUUGAGAUAUUGAUACACGAAGACUAAGUAUGUAUUAUAUUUUUCCUUUUUUCUUGUUUUUAUUUUAUUCUUUGGUUAUGCUCCAGAUAUAUAGGCAAAGCACAAGAAACUUUUAUUCCGGAAAAACCCAAAGACUUAUAGUCAGCUUAUUAAUUGCUUAUGGAAAAUAGAAGAGAAAGUUAAAGAAUUAGCAAAUUUUGAAUGGUGCACACCAAACAUUGAAGAUGCAGAGCCAAAAAAUAAAACAAGUACAAAUGAAGACUCAUCUGCAAUUGCUAAGAUAAAUCUAACAAUUAAUAUGUUUUGUACCAGAACGUAGACAGUGGAGGUUAUAAAUGGGUGUGUAAAGGAUCAAAACGUUAAUGAGUAAAUGGAUGUUAAUGAAGAGACUAAAAAUGCACUGACACUUGAAACUUAAAGAACUAUUAGUGCACUAUAUAAAAGAAAGGGAAGGGAUGACUUUGAGUCUGAAGCCAAACAUAAGGAACUAUUUUGAAUCUUUUCCAAACAAUGUUAAGCUCAAACACAAUGUUAUAAAAAGGUAAGAUAAGAACUAAUGUCACAAUAUUACAGGUAAAUCGUUUUUUUUUCCUGUUUUUCAAUUUUUAUCACUAUAAUAUUCUGUAUGUCAAACUCUAAGAUCCUCAUCCAUUGGUAUGGUAUAGAAGUAGUGUUCAAUUUGCUCGACUGCAUUAUCCUCACCCUGAGUCUCGUUUCCUCUCUUUAUUGGAACUAGGCUCUCCUUGUAAUUGAAAACCCAACAGCCAGAAAAGAUAAGGUCCAGCUGAAAUCCAAGAUCUGUAACUUGUCUUGUUUCAGGGUUAUAUAGCACUAGCUGUGAAGUUUCUGUGAUCUCGAAAACCAUCUUAUCGUUAUCCCAGAUGUUGUAAGGCCAAUGAGCAUCUAUAUGAGGUUGAAGAGUAAGAACUUUGGACCAAUUUCCCCCUUGUUUCAUUACCCACACAUCGUAUAUGGAUGUCAUUGGUUUGCCAGGGUCACCGGUUAAUAUAGCAAGUGAGCCGCCAUGCAAUGUAAGCUUCCCCCAAUGUUCACUUGGAAUAUCUGGGACUUGCAUCUCCCCAAACUGUUCGCUGCCCAUGUCAAAAGAGUGAAUCGUGUAGAUGUCAUCAAGGCCCAUAGAAAGCCCAUAAUAAACCCCGUUGAGAUAAGUGGCGUCAAGGGGUGCAGAUAAGGUAGAACUGGGAGGGAAUUCAGGAGUAAGGUGUUUCCAUGAAUUGUUGCAUGAGGAAUAGACAUAGGCAUAGACACGAUUAUUAGCACCUUGUCCCGGUUCAUCCCAGAACACUCGAAUCCAUACAACCUUAAAAUCUUGAGUCAACAGGUCAAAUCCCAAUCCGAACUGAUGAUCAUG